Molecule: long non-coding RNA, 1499 nt
Organism: Helianthus annuus (common sunflower)
Lineage: Eukaryota; Viridiplantae; Streptophyta; Magnoliopsida; Asterales; Asteraceae
Exons: 8
Source: RefSeq, a predicted model, not a curated record
GUAGGAGUGACUCUCGAAACAUGGAAGACAAAUAUUAAAUGUUUAUCCGUCACAUGAACCCACCACGAGGGCAACGAAUCAUGUAAAAACACUACAAUCAUCUAGCGUUGCGGUUUAUGGGACGGCCUCUUUAGUUUCAGGCUAAAAAUAAAUUAUGAAGAAGGAUGUUUGUCGUUUAUGUAUAUAUGCCAAGGCCACAAUCAAAGGUGGGGUUGAAAUUAUGUACAAAAAGGAUGCUAUCGUUCCUAAAAAUGUUCCGCAUGCAUUCUGGGAAAGAGCUAAAGUUUGAUCUUUUAUAUUUUUUUAUUUUGUUUGAUUGUUUCAUAUAUAUAGGCUUUUGCUCAUCGCCACUUUUAUAUACAGAUACGAUGCAGCGAACGAGAUAGCUUCUCCAUAUUCAGUCUUGUUAGUUCUUGUAUCUGCUACUAUAUUCUUAGCUUGUUUAUUUAUUAUUAUUAUUGCUACAGAUCAUAAAUUUGAUAUGCAUGUAAGUGCUAUAGGACAUGUUCAUUGAAUCGGGCGAACUGGGCGAGCAUAUAACAUAGGUCAAUAUGUUUCAAUCAUCAUAUAUACAGGAUAGCUUGCUUGGCUGAGAUGACCAGCACCACGUGAACCCCCCGUCGCAUCCCUUUGUCUAAAGAUUUGUACUCUUGUCCAACACGAUUUAUUCUUUUGCUUGACAACAGUUGCUCUCUCUGGCACAAGCUGGAUAUGACAUAACUGCAGAUUUACUUAGAACUACAGAUGAUGUUGAGCUUUUGGAACCUCCAGUGAUGGAAGGUUUGGAUUUGCUUUUGGCGAAGCAUAAUGGUUCAAGAAACAAUGGUGUCCCUGAAACAAACGGUGUUUUGGCAGGGCAGCCCGUGCCAGCAAAGAGUCUAUUUGGUUGAAGGUGGUGAUCAUUGUGGUCUGAUUAAAGAAGGAUAUGAUGGCUAAUUCUUAGUGGAACGUAUAUUUGAUUGAAAAAUAUGUGAUUUUUAAGCUCCAGCCUUCAUCUUCAUUGACCAACGACGGCUUCGACAAAGCACCACCGUAACCACCGGACACACCACCGUCAUGGUCCACAACCCCAUCCCCACCCAUCUUCUCAUCUUCUCCGGCGACACUCCUCUGUCCGUUCCUUUCGUCUCCGGCUAAAACACCACCUCCAUCCCAUUGUUCUCUGGCGAAGCACUCCCCUUCCCUCCUUUUUUACGGCCAACCAAUUCUUUUGGCGCCCAUUAAAUCACUUCACUGCCACCAGGUGGUGGACUUCAACCGGCAAGAUAACAUCCAUCGGAUUUGCAGGUCCCUUAAUUGCCAUCGCAGGUCACUUUACAACAUUCGUGGAUUUGGAGGUCUUUUCAUUGCCAUUGGAUUUGCAACGUCCACCGAACAAAGUACAUCUUGAUUGGUUUUACUGGGUUUUGGCAUGUUUGAGCUAGUUCAGUUUGGUUUUGUUUUGUCUAUAAUUGUUAUAUUAUCCAUCAUAUCUAUAAACAAUUUUACAAAAUCAAAUU